AUACGGAGGGGGCUAGCGUUGUUCGGAAUUACUGGGCGUAAAGCGCGUGUAGGCGGAUCGUUAAGUCAGGGGUGAAAGCCCGGAGCUCAACUCCGGAAUUGCCCUUGAUACUGGCGGUCUAGAGGCCGGGAGAGGUGAGCGGAAUUCCCAGUGUAGAGGUGAAAUUCGUAGAUAUUGGGAGGAACACCAGUGGCGAAGGCGGCUCACUGGCCCGGUUCUGACGCUGAGACGCGAAAGCGUGGGAGCAAACAGGAUUAGAAACCCUAGUAGUCC
This 273-nucleotide ribosomal RNA is filed under the name uncultured bacterium. RNAcentral describes it as "partial 16S ribosomal RNA". It matches the Rfam family "Bacterial small subunit ribosomal RNA", at positions 523 to 796 of the family's 1533-position model. The record is from RNAcentral.